RNAcentral lists this long non-coding RNA (1036 nucleotides) under Calidris pugnax (ruff). RNAcentral's name for it is "lncRNA (ENSCPUG00000005775.1)". Lineage: Eukaryota; Metazoa; Chordata; Aves; Charadriiformes; Scolopacidae. The record is from RNAcentral.
AUUCCUCCACAUUUGGGCAUUAAAGCCUCCAAAUCUGCCCUGAAACCCUGUACAUUUUCUCAGAAAUCCCAGAAAUUUGGCCUAAAAUUUGCUAAAUUUGGCCAGAAUCCUCUAAAUUUGCCUCAAAUCCUGCCAUUUCCCCUCCCCCAAAUCCUGCAAACUUUCCCCGAAUCCUGCAAAUCAAGACUGAAAUCCUGCAAAUUGGGACUGAAAUCCCACAAAUUUGCUUCAAAAUCCUGCCAAUUCUCCAAAAUCCCAGGCCAUUACCCCCCCAAAAUCCUGCAAACUUUCCCCGAAUCCUACAAAUCAAGACUGAAACCCCACAAAUUUCCUUUAAAAUCCUGCCAAUUCUCCAAAAUUCCAGAAAUUUGGCCUUAAAUCUGCUCAAUUUGGCCUACAAUCCUCCAAAUUUGCCUCAAAUCCUGCCAUUUCCCCCCUGAAAUCCGGCAAGCUUUCCCCGAAUCCUGCAAAUCAAGACUGAAACCCCACAAAUUUCCUUCAAAAUCCUGCCAAUUCUCCGAAAUUCCAGAAAUUUGGCCUUAAAUCUGCUCAAUUUGGCCUACAAUCCUCCAAAUUUGCCUCAAAUCCUGCCAUUUCCCCCCUGAAAUCCGGCAAGCUUUCCCCGAAUCCUGCAAAUCAAGACUGAAAUCCUGCAAAUUGGGACUGAAACCCCACAAAUUUCCUUCAAAAUCCUGCCAAUUCUCCGAAAUUCCAGAAAUUUGGCCUUAAAUCUGCUCAAUUUGGCCUACAAUCCUCCAAAUUUGCCUCAAAUCCUGCCAUUUCCCCCCUGAAAUCCGGCAAGCUUUCCCCGAAUCCUGCAAAUCAAGACUGAAAUCCUGCAAAUUGGGACUGAAACCCCACAAAUUUCCUUCAAAAUCCUGCCAAUUCUCCGAAAUUCCAGAAAUUUGGCCUUAAAUCUGCUCAAUUUGGCCUACAAUCCUCCAAAUUUGCCUCAAAUCCUUGCUUUUUUUUUUUUUUUUCUGCAAAAAAUCCUGCAAAUUUUCCCCAAAUCCUUCGCUGGGUGUUUAUUUUUUUU